UGAUCUAUGCCUAUACAAUUUCACUGAUCUCAUGAGUUUUGGUUUGUUGCAGUGGUCAUGUGAUGAAGCUCUAUCUAUGGGACAAGGCUGCCACUGACCUCUGUGAGAAGUUUAAGGCACAUGAAAACACUCCGAGUGUUAUUAUGGUGACCACUGUCAACCCGAAACGAUUUGGAGGCGCGCUAGCUCUAUCCUUUAUGUCAUCUUCGCGUGUGUUCUUUGACAUGGAUGUUCAACCAACCAGGGAUUAUCUGACUUAGUAAUUAUUUCUUAGUUGCAUAAGCAUUUGGAAGCUUUGACUUACAUAAUUUUUGGAGAACCUUUACUUCAGGUUGAGCUCAAAAUCGGAUGUUGCUAACAUGGUUAAUGCCGAAAUUGUCACCAAGGCUGAGAUAGUUACUAUAGGAGAACUAUUCUCCUACAUCAAGAAAGAAGGAGCAAAGGUUGCUUGGUUUGAGUGCACAGCCACCAUUGAUGAUGUUGUGCAUGGUUCUGCGUGGUAUUAUAUCGCCUAUGGUGGGUGCAAAACUAAGGCAAC
Long non-coding RNA from Brassica napus (rape), 538 nucleotides. RefSeq lists it as uncharacterized. The transcript is spliced from 3 exons. Lineage: Eukaryota; Viridiplantae; Streptophyta; Magnoliopsida; Brassicales; Brassicaceae. The record is from RefSeq and is a predicted model, not a curated record.